GAACUGAAAUUAGUCUUCCAUCUCCAAUAUUAAGAAAUCUUUCGCCUUCUUCAAAUCUCCUACUGACUUGCAGACUCUACAAUGAAUUAUAAAUAUUAAAAAAGCUUCCGAUAUCUAAUACCCAGAUAGUAAAAUCAUAAAUUAAAAAAUUAUAAGGUAUUAUCAUAUAAUUACCUUGUCCAGCAAUAACUUGCUUCUCUUUCGGUCUGUUCGGAUCUAGGGAGAUAAUGUAUUGAGAAUAAUUUUUUUUUUAAUGCUCCUGCUUCUUGCUAUAGAAGCAUUCGUCUGACUCUGGUCAGACUUAGAUUUCUUGGUCUGACUGGAUUUGGGUUUCCC
This 336-nucleotide long non-coding RNA is filed under the name Elaeis guineensis (African oil palm). Its description in RNAcentral is "long non-coding RNA (EGUI_LNC047132)". Lineage: Eukaryota; Viridiplantae; Streptophyta; Magnoliopsida; Arecales; Arecaceae. The record is from RNAcentral.